This 433-nucleotide ribosomal RNA is filed under the name uncultured bacterium. RNAcentral's name for it is "partial 16S ribosomal RNA". It matches the Rfam family "Bacterial small subunit ribosomal RNA", at positions 29 to 507 of the family's 1533-position model. The record is from RNAcentral.
AACGAACGCUGGCGGCAUGCCUAACACAUGCAAGUCGAACGAGACCUUCGGGUCUAGUGGCGCACGGGUGCGUAACGCGUGGGAACCUGCCCUUAGGUUCGGAAUAACUCCCCGAAAGGGGUGCUAAUACCGGAUAAUGUCUUCGGACCAAAGAUUUAUCGCCUUUGGAUGGGCCCGCGUUGGAUUAGCUAGUUGGUAGGGUAAAAGCCUACCAAGGCGACGAUCCAUAGCUGGUCUGAGAGGAUGAUCAGCCACACUGGGACUGAGACACGGCCCAGACUCCUACGGGAGGCAGCAGUGGGGAACAUUGGACAAUGGGCGAAAGUCUGAUCCAGCAAUGCCGCGUGAGUGAUGAAGGCCUUAGGGUUGUAAAGCUCUUUUACCCGGGAUGAUAAUGACAGUACCGGGAGAAUAAGCUCCGGCUAACUCCGUG